This 2070-nucleotide ribosomal RNA is filed under the name Opegrapha vulgata. RNAcentral describes it as "16S ribosomal RNA". It matches the Rfam family "Bacterial large subunit ribosomal RNA", at positions 429 to 2725 of the family's 2925-position model. Lineage: Eukaryota; Fungi; Ascomycota; Arthoniomycetes; Arthoniales; Opegraphaceae. The record is from RNAcentral.
UUAUUUUGUUUGAAUAUAGGGGAACCUUCCUCUAAGGCUAAAUAUGGUGUAUAAGCGAUAGUGAAAAGUACCGUGAGGGAAAACCUAUAAAAGAGUAGUUUUAUAAGCAGCUCACGUUUAGUUUAAAAUAAACUAGAGCGUACCUUUUGCAUAAUGGGUCAGCAAGUUAAUAUUAGAUGCGAGCAUUUUUUGCUUAGAAAAUUCGGUUAUGAACAAAUGAGUAAGUAUCUAAAAUUAGACCCGAAACCUAGUGAUUUUACCAUGAUCAGGAUUAUAAAAGUCCGAACGGGUUAUCGUUGCAUAGAUAUCCGAAGAAUCAUGGUAGGUUGGUGAAAGACAAAACUGACUAGGAUAGCUGGUUUUCCGCGAAACCUAUUUGAGUAGGUAGUUUAAACAAUAUCUUAGCAGGUACAUAAUCGGUUCUCUGACAAAAUAGCUUUUAAAGCUAUUUUGUGCACAUCGGGGGGCUUGUGAGAGCAAUACCGGUGAGUAGUCGUAAUCGGAAGGGCAAAGAUUAUAGUUACAUAUGUGUGGUAAUGUAUAUAUGUAUAUAUGUAUGUAUCUAUAUUAUUUUGAACAAUCAGACAUAGUACGCUAAGGUUGUAUGUCUAAAGGGAAACAGCCCAUAACAAGAGAUAAUAAGGUUCCAAAAUUAUUAUUAAGUGAAUUGAAGGAAGUUAUUAUUCAACACGGCCAGGAGAUAGGCUUAGAAGCGGCCAUUUUUUGAAGAUCUCGUAACAGAGCACUGGUUAAACAAUAAAGUUUAAUGGCGCCGAAAAUUCUACGGAUCUAAAUAAUAUACCGACACCUUGUUCAUACAUACAUAAAUAGAAUUUUAGUUUUUUCUUUUUCAUCGUAUGCAUGAGGUAGCGGGACGCUGAGGAAAUUUAGGAAGUUUUCUUUUAAAGGAAAAAUAUUUAAAUAACUCAAGUGACAAUGCUGGCAUGAGUAACGAAAAAGGAUAAUAAUAAAAUGUACAUAUUUUAUUAACCUCGCCUAAAGCUUAUGUUUAGUUAAAAGUAACGGUCUCUAAGUUUAUAACCCUAAAGGGCUGAACAAUGAUAUACAUCUAGUGUACAUGUAAAACCUUUAUUAACUAUAUUUCACGAAAAGAAUGUGUGGUUUUUGUUUUACUAGAAGCUGAACAGAUGAUUUAACGUUUAACAUAAACAAUACCUUUUAGUAAGUAUAGUUAAAAGUGAGAAGCGUUCUGGAAAAAAGUGUAUAUUUAUAACACCGUGACUAAAAACUUUGAAGGUAAGCUAGUGUAGAAUACGAAGGCGUAGAGUUACCAAUCAUUAAGGAACUCGGCAAAUUGACUUGCGUAACUUCGGGAUAAGCAGAGCCAUUCCUCUCGAUUGAUAUCGAGUAAAGAAGAGGAGGCAUAGAAUAGUGUUGUACGACUGUUUAAUUAAAACAAAGCACUUUGCAUAAGAUGAAAAUCAAAGUAUUGAGUGUGAUAUCUGCCCUCUAUCGGCUGGUUAACGGUAUUUGCUUAACCGACUAAAGUAGGUUAGGCUUUGAAGGAACCCCCGAUCAAUGGCGGUCUUAACUAUAAGGAUCCUAAGGUAGCGAAAUACCUUGGCCGUUAAAUGCGGUCCUGCAUGAAUGAUGUCACGAUACAACAGCUGUCUCAAUGAUUGACUCAGUGAAAUUAUAAUAACUGUGCAGAUACAGUUUACCUCUAGUUAGACGAAAUGGCUAAAUCUUGCUUUACUGUUUGACUCACAUGUCUAUCAGUCGCGUAAGCGGGGCAUAUGAUCACAAAACACGGAAAGGAAAGGUUUUGGAUUUUUGAAAAAGCUACGCUAGGGAUAAAAACAGGCUAAUUGCGCAAGAGAGUACAAAUUGGGUGCGCAGUUUGGCACCUCGAUGUCGGCUUGGCUCAUCCACAUGAAUGUAAGAAUCAUGAAGGGUACGGCUGUUCGUCGAUUAAAGAGCUACACGAGCUGGGUUAAAUACGUCGUGAGACAGUAUGGUUUCUAUCUUCUAGAGGAAAUAUAGUAGAAUAAGGAUAGCCCCUUCGUACGAAAGGAGUUGGGUAUGUUAACCUCUGGAUUACCUGUUGUU